CAAUUCGACUUCCAGCUCCGGCUUCCAGAAUUUUCAGCGCCAACUGACCAAAUCCGCAGUGGAAAAUCCCAAUCUCCGCCUCUCGCACACCGGAUUCCUUUUUUUUAUAUCAUAUCAGGUCCUUUUCUCCUCUUUAUGCGCCACCAUUAAAAUCUCUAUUUUGCUUGUUUUGAUAGGAAACAGAGAUAAUAGAUCGAAUGGAUAGGUUUUCAAUUGUUUUAGCCUCGGAUUGAUCUUUUGUUUGUGUUUAGUUUGAUGUUAAAUAGCUAAAUGUCUCGACCAAAAAGCUUUACCAGAAAGAUUUAUUUUUUGUCUUCUUCUUCUCAUCUUCUAAUUCCUUUUUCAUUUUUUUUUUUGGGUAAAAUCUGAGUUAAAUAAACAGUGCAAUCAUGGUUUAGUGUAGAGAUAGGGGAAGAAAAGGUCAGAAAUGUUUAUACAAGGUUGGAAUUGAGAUCUGAAACAUUCUCCAAGGAAGAGUAGAAUUGUAAGAGUGAACGAGGAUAGGAUCCAUUUUUUAUUUUCCCAGGGUUUGAUGUUGGCUAUUGUGCACUUUGUUGUAUUUCUUUAUCUACUUAUUGUAUUAGUGUUUGAUAUCUAAAGAAUUGCAGUUUCUUAACCAAUAAAAAAUAUUUUUUCUCACAAAAUUUCAAUGUAAAUGGGGGCAAUUCAAUCACACCCUUCUGCUCACCUUGUUAGCUAUAGAACCUUGACAGGGAGUAUCUGAGGAGUUGGAAGGUCAUCACUUGCCGGGACAUGCUGCAUCAAUGGAUUUAAAUAUGCAUCCUUCGACUUCAGAAAAUUCUUGUACUAUUUCUAGGGAUGCUUUGCUGAAAAUCCAGGUAUACGAUGCCCCUGUGUGCUAAUUUUACCAAUGAGAGUAGAUAGACAUACAGUGGCUCUCAAAUAUAGUCAUGCCUCAUUCUGUUGUUUGUUUAUAAGUUCAAAAUCAGAUUUUGCCGAUAAGCUUUAAAUUACUAGCUGAGAUUCACGUUAAUUUACUUUCAAGUGUUU
RNAcentral lists this long non-coding RNA (1011 nucleotides) under Olea europaea subsp. europaea. The record is from RNAcentral. Lineage: Eukaryota; Viridiplantae; Streptophyta; Magnoliopsida; Lamiales; Oleaceae.